RNAcentral lists this non-coding RNA (116 nucleotides) under Colobus angolensis palliatus. Lineage: Eukaryota; Metazoa; Chordata; Mammalia; Primates; Cercopithecidae. The record is from RNAcentral.
GGGAGGGAAGACACAGCAAAGACUGCAAUGUCCUUGACAAGGAUGAAAGUGGCCCUCGGCCUGACAAUAUACAUACAGUUAAGGCACAGCCACCUACUUUGAAGCAUAGCUUUUAU